This 248-nucleotide ribosomal RNA is filed under the name uncultured Parabacteroides sp. Its description in RNAcentral is "partial 16S ribosomal RNA". It matches the Rfam family "Bacterial small subunit ribosomal RNA", at positions 524 to 771 of the family's 1533-position model. The record is from RNAcentral. Lineage: Bacteria; Pseudomonadati; Bacteroidota; Bacteroidia; Bacteroidales; Tannerellaceae.
UACGGAGGAUCCGAGCGUUAUCCGGAUUUAUUGGGUUUAAAGGGUGCGUAGGCGGCCUUUUAAGUCAGCGGUGAAAGUCUGUGGCUCAACCAUAGAAUUGCCGUUGAAACUGGGAGGCUUGAGUAUGUUUGAGGCAGGCGGAAUGCGUGGUGUAGCGGUGAAAUGCUUAGAUAUCACGCAGAACCCCGAUUGCGAAGGCAGCCUGCCAAGCCAUGACUGACGCUGAUGCACGAAAGCGUGGGGAUCAA